AAUCUACAGGUCGAGCAAGUCUCGUAAAUUUCACGAUUGCGAGCCACGCUUCACGCAACCGUGUUUGCGUACUUGUGUUUCAAGUUGCGUGGUCGUACGGAGUUAUAUUUACCAAAUUUAAAUAUAAUCGUUUUCAAAAUUAAAUCAAUAUGUCAAUAUGGCUACUGGGUGUAAAAGAUAAAUCUUAUUCUAUCUGUUCUUAAUGAGUUUUAGAUAAUUUUAGUUGUAUUUCUUUGUAAUUUUGUGUUGUACAAAGAUUAAUUUAACAUUUUCUCUGGAAGUAUUAAUUUAGAAAGAUAAUAUGCUUCAUUGGUGUUGUGUUUUGAAGUGUGAAAUGUGAUAAAGUCAAGAUAAAGUUCACUUUUAAACUGAACUAAAUAAGGUAUCUGAGAGACAACAAUGGUUAAAUGCAAUACAAUGUACAGGUUUUACUAGCGAAAUGAAAAUUUUCCUGUCCUGUCUGCUGUAAUCAUUUUAUAUCUGGAAAACCAGCCGACUUAAUAGAUAAUAACAAUCUCCAGAUUGGGUUCCUUCAAUAAAUAUGGUCUAUAAACACAAUGAAAUAAGUUCCCCAAAAUCUAAAAUGGAGUGGUAUCAAAGGAGAAUUAAAGGGAAAAAUAUUCAUAUUGAAAUUAUUUAUAAGGCACUGGACUGUCUUAAAUUCUACAAUAAUACUAGAAUCAGCUGAGAGAAGUGGUCUACAAAAAAACCAGGAAGGAAACGGAAUAUGUGGCUACGAAAGGCAAAAGAAAGGUUUACAAAGCAAAUGUGACACAUUUUUUUGAAAUAUUUAGGAAUAUCAGUAAAUUGCAUUAAAAAAAUGUAUGAAAAGAUUUUGUUCAAUAAAAAUGUUUAUAUUUAUCAAGGAUGUAUUAUUUGGU
Long non-coding RNA from Diabrotica virgifera virgifera (western corn rootworm), 881 nucleotides. RefSeq lists it as uncharacterized. NCBI's taxonomy places the organism in Eukaryota, Metazoa, Arthropoda, Insecta, Coleoptera, Chrysomelidae. The record is from RefSeq and is a predicted model, not a curated record. The transcript has 3 exons.